Molecule: long non-coding RNA, 840 nt
Filed under: Mytilus galloprovincialis (Mediterranean mussel)
Lineage: Eukaryota; Metazoa; Mollusca; Bivalvia; Mytilida; Mytilidae
Source: RNAcentral
GGCUUCGGUAAAAAAAAAACAGAACGUCCUGAGGAUGUAACGCGCCAUUUGGAAAAAUAAAUUUGUCGGUUUCUUAAACGGUUGUGAAGAUUAAGCGAUAACAAAAAAAACAGUGUUCGGGGAGAUAACUCUUAUAUGGGAAAGUAUUGGGUUUCGCGGUGUCAGUUUCAAAAGCGCACAAACUGUUCGAUAUCAUAUUUCAUUUAUUUAAGCGACAUCUUGCGAAACAAAAAAACAGCGAAGGAAAAAAAUGUUGGCGGAAAAAAAAAUAAUAAUAAUAAUAAUAAUAAUAAUCAGAACAAAAACAAUAGGUCUUUCAUCCGAAAGGUUGAAAGACCUAAUAAUAGGGAAAAACUGGAGUUGUCGUUCUUCACGUUGAUAGAAUGGAUAGCACACAAGCUACAUUCAGUUGUAAGUGGAGGGUAAAAAAAAAGGGGGGGCCAAAAGGGUCCAGAGGAUUUUUUUUUUUUUUUUUUAUAUUAAUGGAACAGAAUGGUUAAAAAGGCCUUUUUACAAUAUAAAUCAAUUGCUUUUAAAAAGCAAUUGUGAACGGUCUUUCACCCCCUUAAAAAGAUGAUUGAUUGAUGUGUGUGUGUGUGUGUGUGUGUGUGUGUGUGUGUGUGUGUGUGUGUGUGUGUGUGUGUGUGUGUGUUGUUUGUUUGUUUGUUUGUUUGUUUGUUUGUUUGUUUGUUUGUGUAAGGGGUCUAUAGUAUUGUGUUACCGGAGAAGUUUCAUGUUUAGUUUGGAAAGUGUUUCUUUUAUUUUAGGUACAGCGCGCGCGACAUCACGUGACACGGGUUUAUAAUAACGAAAACUUAGUCUUUUUAUUUUUCUUUUGAG